This 1811-nucleotide ribosomal RNA is filed under the name human gut metagenome. Its description in RNAcentral is "bacterial LSU rRNA". It matches the Rfam family "Bacterial large subunit ribosomal RNA", at positions 1098 to 2925 of the family's 2925-position model. The record is from RNAcentral.
AGGUUGGCUCAGAAGCAGCCAUCCUUUAAAGAGUGCGUAACAGCUCACUAGUCGAGUGACCCUGCGCCGAAAAUGUACCGGGGCUAAGCCUGAUACCGAAACUGCGGAUUGUAGGAAACUAUAGUGGUAGGGGAGCGUUGUAUACGAGCAGAAGCCGUACCGUGAGGAGCGGUGGAUUGUAUAGAAGUGAGAAUGCCGGUGUGAGUAGCGAGAUGUAGGUGAGAAUCCUACACACCGAAAGCCCAAGGAUUCCAGGGGAAGGUUCGUCCGCCCUGGGUAAGUCGGGACCUAACGCGAGGCCGAAAGGCGUAGUGGAUGGAAAGCAGGCGAAAGAUUCCUGCACCCGUAUAUGGAGCGAAGGAGUGACGGAGACGGAUAGUGUGACCCUCUUAAUGGAUUGAGGGCGAAGCGAAGCGGCUGGUUACCAGGCAAAUCCGGUAACCAAAAGGCUAGAACGUGACAGGUAAGCGAAAUCUUAGGAAAGUAGCGAAGCACAUGAUGACGGCUUCCAGGAAAAGCUUCUGGCAAUGCAUAUGCGGCCCGUACCAAAACCGACACAGGUGGGCAGGGAGAGAAUCCCGAGGUGAGCGAGAGAACUGUUGCCAAGGAACUCGGCAAAAUGACUCCGUAAGUUAGCGAGAAGGAGUGCUUAAGCAAUUAAGCCGCAGUGAAGAGGCCCAAGCGACUGUUUAACUAAAACACAGCUCUCUGCGAAGUCGCAAGACGAAGUAUAGGGGGUGACACCUGCCCGGUGCUGGAAGGUUAAGAGGAUCUGUUAAGAGCGAUCUGAAGCAGUGAUCCGAAGCCCCAGUGAACGGCGGCCGUAACUAUAACGGUCCUAAGGUAGCGAAAUUCCUUGUCAGGUAAGUUCUGACCCGCACGAAAGGUGUAACGAUUUGGGCGCUGUCUCGGCAGCAGACUCGGUGAAAUCUUAGUACCUGUGAAAAUGCAGGUUACCCGCAACUAGACGGAAAGACCCCAUGGAGCUUUACUGCAGCCUGAUAUUGAAUUCUGGUCAUACAUGUACAGGAUAGGUGGGAGACAAAGAGACGUGCACGCCAGUGUACGAGGAGUCGUCGUUGGGAUACCACUCUUGUGUGACCGGGGUUCUAACCUGGUAUCGAGAACAGGUACGGGGAGAGUGUCAGGUGGGCAGUUUGACUGGGGCGGUCGCCUCCCAAAGAGUAACGGAGGCGCCCAAAGGUACGCUCAGAUUGGAUGGAAACCAAUCGUCGAGUGCAAUUGCAGAAGCGUGCUUGACUGUGAGACAAACAAGUCGAACAGGGACGAAAGUCGGGAAUAGUGAUCCGGCGGUGCCGAAUGGAAGGGCCGUCGCUCAACGGAUAAAAGCUACCCUGGGGAUAACAGGCUGAUCUCGCCCAAGAGUUCACAUCGACGGCGAGGUUUGGCACCUCGAUGUCGGCUCAUCGCAUCCUGGAGCUGGAUUCGGUUCCAAGGGUUGGGCUGUCCGCCCAUUAAAGCGGUACGCGAGCUGGGUUCAGAACGUCGUGAGACAGUUCGGUCCCUAUCUGUUGUGGGCGAAGGAGAUCUGCGGAGAGCUGUCCUCAGUACGAGAGGACCGGGAUGGACCUACCGCUGGUGCACCGGUUGUUCCGCCAGGGGCAUAGCCGGGUAGCUAAGUAGGGAAAGGAUAAGCGCUGAAAGCAUCUAAGCACGAAGCCUACUCCAAGAUGAGAUCUCCCAUUCGCAAGAAGUAAGACCCCUUAAAGACGAUAAGGUAGAUAGGCCAGGGAUGGAAGUGCAGUGAUGUACGGAGUUGACUGGUACUAAUCGGUCGAGGACUUAAUCAG